Molecule: microRNA precursor, 194 nt
Organism: Oryza sativa Indica Group (long-grained rice)
Lineage: Eukaryota; Viridiplantae; Streptophyta; Magnoliopsida; Poales; Poaceae
Rfam family: MIR812 microRNA precursor family
Source: Rfam
UAUUACCAAAGCAAUUGCAACAUCUAACUGUCUGUCUUAUUUGAAAAUGUUUUAUGAUUAGUAUUGUUAUUAUUAUUAGAUGAUAAAACAUGAAUAUUACUUUAUGCGUGACUCUUUUUUAAUAUUUUUCAUAAAUUUUUCAAAUAAGACGGACGGUCAAACGUUGAACACAGAAACCCACAACUGCACUUAAA